AUUCCAGCUCCAAUAGCGUAUACUAAAGUUGUUGCAGUUAAAAAGCUCGUAGUUGAAUUUCUGGUCGUGAAAAGUGGUCCGUUCCGCAAGGAAUGUGUACUGUCUAUUCAUGUCCAUCCUCGGAGUUAGUGUGUAUUACUCUAAUCGGUCGUGCAUGCAAAACUUCGUCAUUUACUGUGAGCAAAAUAGAGUGUUCAAAGCAGGCUUAUGCCGUUGAAUAUAUUAGCAUGGAAUAAUAAGAUAUGACUUUGGUCUAUUUUGUUGGUUUGCACUCCAAAGUAAUGAUUAAUAGGGAUAGUUGGGGGUAUUCGUAUUCAAUUGUCAGAGGUGAAAUUCUUGGAUUUAUGGAAGACGAACUACUGCGAAAGCAUUCACCAAGGAUGUUUUCAUUA
Molecule: ribosomal RNA, 392 nt
Filed under: Chrysophyceae sp.
Lineage: Eukaryota; Chrysophyceae
Description: partial small subunit ribosomal RNA
Rfam family: Eukaryotic small subunit ribosomal RNA
Source: RNAcentral